AUCCUAGAAUGUUUAUCAAAAACCUUAAUUUCUUUUCGACUGAUGAAAGACAGACAAACAUCUUGGAUGACAUGGGGGUGAGUAAAUUAUCAGGAAAAGUAUAUUUAAAAGUGGACUAAUCCUUUAGGAUUAGCCCAUUUAAAUGUGGGGUAAGCGAUAUUUGGAGAAAAAAAAAAAAAAAAAAAAAACACUGUUUGGAAGUAAGUCUGACUAACACACCAGCAAACAAUAGCAUUGGGGGCGUAUGACGGAGCAGAGAGAACAAGCAAGAGGGAGAUUUGAAGAAAGAAUGAAGAAUGAGAGAUGAGACGAUACAAAAGAGAAAAGCUCAGAAGAGUAUCUGUGGAAUGAAGGGUUAUGACUGGGCAAUAUCUUCAGGACCCACGUUAAUAUUAGAAAAGCACUCGAUAGAGCUGAGCGGGAAGACCUGAAAACAGGAGGCUGCUUUGAUUCCGCUUCACAUGUGAGUAAGACUGGGUUUGAGUGUCAUUGAUUGUCUGGAGCUGCUGUGCUAUUGGCUACUAACAACAAACUCUUGUUUGCAUUUACUAUUGUGUACUGUACGUUCAUUUUUUUUUUGAGCUUCCUUGUCGUUUGUUCAUCUGCGCUUUAUUUUUCAUAAAGCAUUAUUUUGUAGUGCGUCAGCUGUGAUACACAUGCAGUGCGAGAGUGGAUGGCUGUGUAACAGAGGCCAGCUAGUAAGAGAUAUGCAGACAUUGGUUUGUUUUAGACAUUUAUAAUGCUGAAUGGGACUGACCUCCUCAAACAUGUUCUUCCUGAAGUCCAGCUCCUCCACGAGGCUCUGGCAGCGGUUCUCCAGAUCCACGCGCAGCAGAGUCUCAUCUGACAGCUGCUUCUUAGCAGAGCUCAACCCUUCCUCCAGCUGAAUGACAAACACACUAUAUCACAGACUGGCUCACAAACAUUACUUUGUCAUUGUCAGUGGAAACAUGUAUGCUGGAAAAGUCAUGAAACAACAGACCUUUUGAAGUGACCCCAAGAUUGUCAUAAUUAUUUGACUAUUUUGCAGAGUGUGUUUUGGUGCAGAUAUGGGUGAUAUUUGCCAUCUUGUACUAUGUCAGUCUCCUACGUUUUGACGUAGGGAACGCUAGGGCUGGGUAUUUACACAAUUUUCACAAUUCUAUUUGAUUUCUAUUCACAUGUUUGCGAUUCGAUUCGGAUUCGAUUCAGAUUAUUUGGGUUCUAAAAAAAAAAAAAAAAAAAAAAAAAAAAAAAAAACCUCAACUAUUGUUGUAAACUACACAUGGGAAUCAGUUGGUACUACAUUACUAUAAUACUGAAGGUUAGAAUUUAUAUACAAACACUUAAAUUACACAAUGUUUUUAUAAUAAAGUUUAGAGUUACAUAAUCAUUUCUACUCCAAUUAGUUUUUUUUUUUUAAAUAAACAUUUAAAUCGUGGCUGUCAUAACCGAUUUAUUCAAACAUGCAUUAAAUAUUAAACAUUAAAAAUAAUGAAUAUGUAACAGUGCAUAUAUUUAUCAGAAUACUGCUCUCUAGAGUUCUUUUUUUUUUUCUAGCCGACUAAUGACUUUAUGGUCACUGGAUAUGGUUUUUCUGAGGUAAAUGUGAGAUUAUGUGAUAUUGUUUACAAGCCAUUUUAUUGACGUCUUUCCGCGUUUGAAACACUGAGCGAAUUCAUGUGACAUGAUACGGAUUCGAUGUGACAUGAUACGGAUUUUGGCAAAUCCGUAUCAUGUCAUCCGUCAUCAUGUCAUCCGUAUCAUUUUACUGCAUCUUUUAACAUACCUUCAGAUGAUGUUUAUUUCGCGCUGUAACUGGUAUUAAAGCGGAGGAGAGGAUGUUCACAUGCGCUCCGUGCUGCCGCUUCGCUUUAACUGAGGCGCUACAGCGAUCUUGCCACAUUAAAAAGCACCAAAACGGUAUUUAUUUUUUGAAACUCAUAUGAUGGAUGUCAUUUGAAAUCAGACUUUGCUUCAUAUCAAAAGUAACAAAGCACAAAGAUUAUUGUGAUUUAUUGCUAAGAGGUGCGCUACAUGUUCUGUUCAUUCAUCAACUGAAAAUUUAAGAAUCGAUAUCGGUUCGUAAAAAUGAGAAUCAAAUAAAAUGGAGAAAAAUCAAAAUUUUUUUACCCAGCCCUAAUGAAAGUAGUGCAGCACUUCCAUGUUCAACAUCAGAAUGCAGACUCAUUAUUGGGCAGCUCCUGCAUCAUCACACACAUACGUUGUACUGCUCACGAGUACAGCGCCGGCCAAUUCUGAGCCGGCUUUCAGACGUAAAUGCAAAAGCGCUGCACUGCAUUCACUACAUCAGUGUAGGAGACUGACAGGGAAGAGAAAAAAAAAAAAAGUUGAAUUUUUUUUUUGUUAUUUUUGUUUUUGCACACCAAAAGUAUUCUUGGUCGCUUCGUAACAAGGUUGAACUACUUGUCACAUGGACUGUUUUAACGAUGUCUUUAAUACCUUUUUGGACCUCAAAAGGUGCAAUGACAUUGCUGCAUAUGUGCAGUUCAGAAACCAAAAAAAAAAAUAUCAAAAAUAUCUUAAAUUUGUGUUCCGAAGAUGAACAAAGGUCUUACGGAUUUGGGACGACAUGAGGGUCAGUAUUUAAUGACGGAAAUUUCAUUGUUGGGUGAAAAAACCCUUUAAAGGGACAAUAUUUGCCCCCUUAACCCCCUGGGGUCUGUGGUCGUGCAGGCAAUACCACCUCGCUUUUUUCUUAGUGUGAAAGACUCAAUACUCCAUCGAUUUUGGUCAUGCACAUAAGUGUUAUACAUCAUUCGAAACUGUUAAGUGUCUACUUGUGUGUACACUCACAAUUAUGACAAAACUUUGUGCUUUUGUAAAAUAAAGGGCGGGCUUUGUCAUAUUUUGUGUGCUCCAUUCAUUCAUUACAUUUUUAAAUAAUGUAAUUAAAUAAUUUACUUAAAUAAAUUACUUAUUUACUGAAUUAAAUAAAUUACUUUAAUUUAAUUCAGUAAAUAAACAAAUCACAACAAACUGGCCAAUCACUGAAAAAGCCAUAAAAUAUCUAAUUCAUAGUAUGAACUUAUUUGUUAAACAAAAUCCAUAAUCCACUAAGUACACACUAUUUCAUUAUAGAGAAAACAAAUAAAAAUAUAUAAAUCAUAAGCUAUGACAAAGAAAAUAAACUGAAAGUAUAAUUAAACAGCAAAAGUAAUUCUUGGAAAAAAAAAAAAAAAAAAAAAAAAGUAGUAAAGUGUAAUUUUAUAAAAUCUACAAAAAAACAAAAAACAACAAUACUCAUUGGUUCAGCAGGGUCAUAUGAAAGCAGGCGAAGAAGAAAAUGUGUUAACUGCAAAAAAUAAAUAAUAAAUUAAUAAAAAUCAGGAAUUAAGGUGAAGGAUUAGGCGUGAAACCAUCAGGAACCCUUUAGUCUCCAGAGCCACCAUUUUCCAGAACUGCAACCUACCUGGAGUCUCCAAAAGUAUAAAGGUAUCAAGAUCUCAGAGACUUGGCUAUGGUAAAGAAUCCUGAAAUAUGACCCACUUAAUCACAAGCUGAAGUGUUGUGAAAUACAUGUAGACUGUUUUUUAAUAGGCUUACUAGACAGAUAGGUUGAAUAGAUAGACUCUUGAAGGACCAGCACAUCAUCUUGUACCACUGUUUGAAAAAUUGAUCUUCCAGAAUCUGGCAGCAAGUUUUGGGAGUUGGUUUUAAGUCCAUUUCCUACCCUGAAAGGUCCAACUUGCUCAUUGUUGGUAGCAGCUCACAGCAUGACUCCCUGUUGUCUUACUUGAACUGGUGCUGGUCCCUUAGUUAAGAGUCACUCUCAACCUAUCUGUCUAUAAAGCCUUCAGACAGAUUGACUGUUUAUGGACAACCUUCAUGCAUUUCACAACACUUCAGCUUGUGAUUCUUAAGUGGGGUCAACAAGAUAUGAUUGAUACGACAGAACAAAAGCUUUUAAUAAUCCUUCAGUGCGCAAAACCAUGAUAUGAAAUGCUUCAAAACAGAGCGACACAAACCGCUUAUGCGCAUACCGGGUGCAGAAUAGGGCUGUCAAAAUGGCUGAUAAGCUAAAUUCGAAAUUCUUUCUGAAAUAUUUGCAAAUUUCGAAUUAUAUUCGAAUUCUAAAGGCAAAAAAAAAAAAAAAAAAAAAAAAAAAAGGCAAAAAAAGGCAAAAAAUGCUUUGUCUAUGCCCACAAGAGAGCGCAAGCGAGCGCAAUAAGCAAAAUACACCAAAUCAUGCAUUGCAUCUUUUAUUGAAAUGAAAUGACAUUCACUUUUUUUUUUUUUCCUCAAACAACUGUUUUUAAAUAAAAGAUGUCAUUAAUGUGCAUGCAAGGUAACAAAAAGUGCAUAAAAACUGUAAGUACAUCACAACACUAACCUGAGAAAACACGCUUCAACAGACAGCGUAAUGUUUGUACUACAUGAAUACAAAAUAGCGACCUGCCAUUCAGAAACAAUCCGCUCACUACACAUAUUGCUCGUCAAAACACCUGACGGUGUUUUUUUUUUUUUUCUUUUCUUGGACAAUGUUUCCAGCUGAUGAAACACGCGCUCAGCUCUGGGGGUGCGUUUCCCGAAAGCAUGGUUAGUCAACUAUGGCCGUAAGUCCCACUGAACUCUCUUGGUAACGGCGGAACUUGCGACCAUAGUUCGCUUUGGGAAACGCACCCCUGACCGAUGUGGCAGGUAUGGUCAAAUAUGUCUUUGCCAGCUGCGCAAUAUGUGGAAACAAACAUACCGCACGGUUUUUGCCACCAACUGAAAUGGUUUUCGUCAUCGGGUAGCGUAGCUUCUCCAUCUGCUCCAAAGGCCUGAUGCCUUCUUCAGCACUGCUUAGGGUCUGACUGCAUAUGCCAUCGAACUGGUUGGCCAUAGCAGACAGCGCAGUCUUUUUUUCUUGCGUCAACAUCAGCGCGCUCACUUUUUGACUCCUCCAUUAUAUUUAUCACAUUAAUGCACCCUGCACCGCGCUGUACUGGAUAACAUAAACAAGCCGCGUCAGUUACGUCAUCAUGGCUUGCGCUCCUCUUGACACUGCAAAAAUUCGAAUGCACGGGUUUUACAUUCGAAUGUGCCUUUUUUUUUUUUUUUUUUUUUUUUUUUUAAAUUCGACGAAUAUUCGAAAGUCGAUUUUUUUUUUUGACAGCCCUAGUGCAGAAUGUGCUUAAAGCUACAUUGAGUCACAGUGCACAGCACUGCACAAG
Long non-coding RNA from Megalobrama amblycephala (Wuchang bream), 5159 nucleotides. RefSeq lists it as uncharacterized. Lineage: Eukaryota; Metazoa; Chordata; Actinopteri; Cypriniformes; Xenocyprididae. The transcript has 2 exons. The record is from RefSeq and is a predicted model, not a curated record.